RNAcentral lists this ribosomal RNA (525 nucleotides) under uncultured Salinibacterium sp. RNAcentral describes it as "bacterial SSU rRNA". It matches the Rfam family "Bacterial small subunit ribosomal RNA", at positions 93 to 632 of the family's 1533-position model. Lineage: Bacteria; Bacillati; Actinomycetota; Actinomycetes; Micrococcales; Microbacteriaceae. The record is from RNAcentral.
CAGUGGCGAACGGGUGAGUAACACGUGAGUAACCUGCCCCAGACUCUGGGAUAAGCACUGGAAACGGUGUCUAAUACCGGAUACGAGCUUCAGCCGCAUGGCUAGGAGCUGGAAAGAAUUUCGGUCUGGGAUGGACUCGCGGCCUAUCAGCUAGUUGGUGAGGUAAUGGCUCACCAAGGCGACGACGGGUAGCCGGCCUGAGAGGGUGACCGGCCACACUGGGACUGAGACACGGCCCAGACUCCUACGGGAGGCAGCAGUGGGGAAUAUUGCACAAUGGGCGCAAGCCUGAUGCAGCAACGCCGCGUGAGGGACGACGGCCUUCGGGUUGUAAACCUCUUUUAGUAGGGAAGAAGCGAAAGUGACGGUACCUGCAGAAAAAGCACCGGCUAACUACGUGCCAGCAGCCGCGGUAAUACGUAGGGUGCAAGCGUUAUCCGGAAUUAUUGGGCGUAAAGAGCUCGUAGGCGGUUUGUCGCGUCUGCUGUGAAAACUGGAGGCUCAACCUCCAGCCUGCAGUGGGUA